RNAcentral lists this ribosomal RNA (443 nucleotides) under uncultured soil bacterium. RNAcentral's name for it is "bacterial SSU rRNA". It matches the Rfam family "Bacterial small subunit ribosomal RNA", at positions 26 to 518 of the family's 1533-position model. The record is from RNAcentral.
AGAACGAACGCUGGCGGCAUGCCUAACACAUGCAAGUCGAACGAGACCUUCGGGUCUAGUGGCGCACGGGUGCGUAACGCGUGGGAAUCUGCCCUAUGGUUCGGAAUAACAGUUAGAAAUGACUGCUAAUACCGGAUAAUGUCUUCGGACCAAAGAUUUAUCGCCAAAGGAUGAGCCCGCGUAAGAUUAGCUAGUUGGUAGGGUAAAAGCCUACCAAGGCGACGAUCUUUAGCUGGUCUGAGAGGAUGAUCAGCCACACUGGGACUGAGACACGGCCCAGACUCCUACGGGAGGCAGCAGUGGGGAAUAUUGGACAAUGGGCGAAAGCCUGAUCCAGCAAUGCCGCGUGAGUGAUGAAGGCCUUAGGUUGUAAAGCUCUUUACCGGGAUGAUAAUGACAGUACCGGAGAAUAAGCCCCGGCUAACGUCCGUGCCAGCAGCCGC